This is a long non-coding RNA of Vidua macroura (Pin-tailed whydah), 724 nucleotides long. RefSeq lists it as uncharacterized. Lineage: Eukaryota; Metazoa; Chordata; Aves; Passeriformes; Viduidae. The transcript has 3 exons. The record is from RefSeq and is a predicted model, not a curated record.
GGAGGAGUGAGUGCAGUUUCUGAAAACAAACUCCGCGCUUCUUCUCCCUCCCUUCACUCCUGGAACAAGUCUUAAAGAUAAAGCAGAAAUUUUCAGAGUCUUCAUCUGCCUGCUGCCUCACAGAUUAAACAUAGCUCCUUGCUUCAGGGGAGGCUAGAAGAUUUGGAAAUCAAAGUGCAUCUCCUGGGUAGCUUCCUGGCUCCCUGGACAGGACCAAGAGUCAUAAGCUCCUAAAGACCUGAGCCUCUGUUUGGCAAACCCAUAUGUGGGAAGAUGAAAGCAGUCAGUGGCCUUUUGGAAAGGACCCAUGUGACCUGCAUUACCUCUGGUAGACUCUUUUGCAGAAAUGUCAACGAGGUUGCAAAUAUCAGAUAAUGAUAAAGAGAAAUGGGGUCACAGCUCAUAUUGCCUUACAUAGAGAACAUCAAGUUAUCAAGUCAUAAUUCACAAGUGAAAAUAUGUGAUUAAACUUUGUCAGUGGUCCCUUUCUUGAUUUCUCUUCACUUUUUCCCCACAGUUUGAUAAAGCACACUUGUAAAACAAAUUUGAUAUGGUUCCGUCUUGUUGUCUUAUAUAUUUGUUGAGGGUCAUGUAAUGACAAGCCUUUGUCUUGAUUAGAAAUUAUAUCCAUUGGAAGGUACUUAAAUAGACAAUAGGAAUUGUGGGAAAGGAAUAUGAAAGUCCUCGGUAAUGAAAGUUAGGACUGAACUAUGUUUCAGCUGCC